GUCGUUGACAGAUUCUUGAAAACGGAAUGGAUGCACCUGAAUGGAAAGAACCUUACUAGAAAAAUUGUGAAAAAAUCGAUCAAUGUUCCACAACAGGAAAAUGGAUAUGACUGUGGUCUGUUUGCUUUAUUCUAUAUGGAGCGUUUUAUCCAGGAGGCACCUGACAGGUUUUGCAGGAUAGACCUUUCUAUGGUUAGAUACUAUUUGUUGCUUUCUUUAUUUUUUAUAUGUAUGCUUCACUGCUUUCUAGAACACACUCGCCGGAUCUGGCCAUCUUAUUGUUUCUUAUUUUCUACUAGUUUGGCAAAAGAUGGUUUCGACCAGAAGAGGCUUCAGAGUUGAGAAAGAAAAUGUUUGAUCUGCUGCUUCAGUUGUUCGAGAAAGACAACCUAUAAUGUAAACCUUGUGUACUCGAAUCAUCUCGUAGUUACAAUCAGGGCAAGAUCU
Molecule: long non-coding RNA, 447 nt
Organism: Panicum virgatum (switchgrass)
Lineage: Eukaryota; Viridiplantae; Streptophyta; Magnoliopsida; Poales; Poaceae
Exons: 3
Source: RefSeq, a predicted model, not a curated record